RNAcentral lists this ribosomal RNA (268 nucleotides) under uncultured bacterium. Its description in RNAcentral is "partial 16S ribosomal RNA". It matches the Rfam family "Bacterial small subunit ribosomal RNA", at positions 86 to 354 of the family's 1533-position model. The record is from RNAcentral.
UAAAUCUUAGUGGCGGACGGGUGAGUAACGCGUGGGUAACCUGCCUUACACUGGGGGAUAACACUUAGAAAUAGGUGCUAAUACCGCAUAAGCGCACGAAGCCGCAUGGAUUUGUGUGAAAAACUCCGGUGGUGUAAGAUGGACCCGCGUCUGAUUAGCUUGUUGGCGGGGUAACGGCCCACCAAGGCGACGAUCAGUAGCCGGCCUGAGAGGGUGGACGGCCACAUUGGGACUGAGACACGGCCCAAACUCCUACGGAAGGCAGCAG